GUCUGCUGGGUGACCUUGGGCAAGCCGCUUCUCUUCCCUGGGCCCCGAUCUCCCCAUCCGCUGAAUGGCGAUCCGAUACCUGUUCUUCUUCCUCCUGCUUAGGCCGUGAGCCCCACGUGGUGACUGAUUGAUUACCUUUAUACCUCUCCCAGCCCUCCGUACGGUGCUUGGCACGUAGUGGGCGCUUGGCAGAUGCCGUUCUUAUUGUAUUAUAUAACGAUAUGCAAUCCUCAUUAUGGUUCAGAGGGACCCUCUCCGGGAGACUUAGACCUUCAGCCGGGCUAAACUCAAACCGGGAGACUCGGGUAGAACAUAUAAUGGCCGUCACUAUUGUUAAGGGGGACUCUUUCCAAGACACUUGACCCAUCCGCUGUUUUCCCCUUGGCGGCAAAGUCCGGUGAGAGGUGAAGCGGCUCGAUUUCUUCUUUCGCUUUUCUGAGCGACCGACUCCCCGGGGUCGUAGCGAGACGCCUCCCCUCGUGACGUUUCGCACGCGCCCGCGGCUGGCCGCGGCCCGGAGUGCCGGCUUCUGGCGGGGUCCGUCGGCUGCGUCGUCCGGGUGGGUGAAACCGAUCCGGACCGCGCGCUCGCCUAGGGGCCUCCCGAGCUUAGGGUUCGGAUUCAAAGCCUGUCGUCGGUCGAUACGUCCGCCGAUCGUACGUAACGGGCGCUUGCCGCGCGCAGAGCGCCGAGCCGAGCGACUGGGAGAGAGUGCCGAAGAGCCGGGGUCAGGACCCCGGUCUCCCGCCUCCCGGUCCCGUUCGCUUUCUGCUAGGUCAAGCUGCUUUUCUGCCAGAUGUCAGAAGGUUGCCUGCAGAUCACCGGUCCGGACUCCUACUAGACGUCCUGCGUGGCCUCCAGCCUUCGUCCCUGACCCUACCGUUCCUCUGGGCUACCCAAAAGACUCCCUUUGUCCCCUCGGACGGACCUCGUAGCCGGCCGACGGUUUCCUGCCGUCUUUCCCUUGGGAGGGAUGAGGCUCGCGUUCCUUUGAUGAUUCUUCUGUGGGGCCCGGGAGCUCUCCAGACCCUGCUGGGCCAGGCCCUCCUUUGGCGCGCUUCGUCUUUAGGGAACAGCCUACUCCCCCGCUCCGGACCUAGUCUCUCGGUCCUCGGUCCUGCUGGCUCCUCUGCAUUUACUUGCGCUGGCUUCGCUAGUGCGGGUUGGAGAGGGUGAGCGGAGGAGAGCGGAUGAGCACUCCUCGGUUCCCGUCGGAUGGCACGCUCCCGGGAGCUCGGUACGGUGCUCUGCACGUAGUAAGGGCUCGAUGAAUUCCGCUGAUCCGUUUGGGAAAGAUCCGAUCCCUUCGGUCGGCCCGCUCCCUGUCCGGGAAGUGCUUCCUUUGGGCCAAGAGCCGUGCUAAGCGGCUGGGGUAGAUACAGCGCCGUCGGAUCAGCUCCGGUCCCUACCCCACAAGGGGCUCCCAGUCCGAAGGGGAAGGAGAGCGGGGAUCUCGUCCUCGUUUUACGCAGGGGAAAACCGAGGCCCACGGAGGCUCGGUGACCGGCCCGGGGUCGCGCAGCGGGCCGGGGACGGAGCUGGGAAUGAAACCGAAUCUCCCGAUUCCCAGGAGAUCGAGCGGUCGGUCGGUCGGUCGGUCGGUCGGUCACGGGCGUGGAACGGUGUCCCGUGUACUGAGUGCUCGGGAGAGUUGGGCGUAAUUGUGUCGGUAGACGUGUUCCCCGCCCCCGAGGGGCUUACGGUCUAGAGGGGGAGGCAGCCGUUAAGAGAGAUUACAGCUACGGGCAUAAAUGCCGCGGGGUUGAAUGCGGGGAGACUGGCCUGCGCUUAAAGGGUGCAGAUACGAGUGUAGGGAAGACUCAGAGCGGGGGAGAGAGAGGGUAGGAGAAACGAGGGCUUCGCCGGGGAAGUCCCCUCGGAGAAGUAAUUUUAAUAAGGCUUCGAAGGGGGAGAGAGCCAUGGCUUGUCAACCCAUCGGUGGUAUUCACCGAGUGCUUACCGCGUGCAAGGCGCUGAACUAAACGCUUGGGAGGGGAACGACGCACCAAUAUGACAGAUAGGUUUCCUGCCCACGGUAAGGUUACAG
Molecule: long non-coding RNA, 2047 nt
Filed under: Ornithorhynchus anatinus (platypus)
Lineage: Eukaryota; Metazoa; Chordata; Mammalia; Monotremata; Ornithorhynchidae
Description: lncRNA (ENSOANG00000043346.1)
Source: RNAcentral